UGGGGAAUAUUGCGCAAUGGGCGAAAGCCUGACGCAGCGACGCCGCGUGAGGGAUGAAGGUUUUCGGAUCGUAAACCUCUGUCAGAAGGGAAGAAACCGCACUGUGCUAAUCAGCAGUGCCUUGACGGUACAUUCAACGGAAGCACCGGCUAACUCCGUGCCAGCAGCCGCGGUAAUACGGAGGGUGCAAGCGUUAAUCGGAAUUACUGGGCGUAAAGCGCACGUAGGCUGCUUUGUAAGUCAGGGGUGAAAUCCCACGGCUCAACCGUGGAACUGCCUUUGAUACUGCUUAGCUUGAAGCCGGUAGAGGGUGGCGGAAUUCCAGGUGUAGAAGUGAAAUCCGUAGAUAUCUGGAGGAACAUCAGUGGCGAAGGCGGCCACCUGGACCGGUAUUGACGCUGAGGUGCGAAAGCGUGGGGAGCAAACAGG
RNAcentral lists this ribosomal RNA (429 nucleotides) under Fusobacteriota bacterium. RNAcentral describes it as "Fusobacteria bacterium partial 16S ribosomal RNA". It matches the Rfam family "Bacterial small subunit ribosomal RNA", at positions 355 to 776 of the family's 1533-position model. The record is from RNAcentral. Lineage: Bacteria; Fusobacteriati; Fusobacteriota.